UUAAAAAUUUUCAAAAAUGAUAAUUUUAACUACCGAUGUGAUGCGUUUGUGAAUUUAACAAUGUAAAAUAAUCCAAAUUUAAUAAAAUUUUUAUAGAAAAUUUUUUUUACUAUUUAGGGUAAGAUCAGUGCAUCUAUCUUAAAUUCAAGUUUUUCAUCAUCAUUUCUUAUGAGAUUUUUAUUUUCAGCCAUUUAUUUUUAGAUUACUCGUUUGAUAGGUAAAUGAUACCGAAAAAUUAUGAAAUUUAGUUUUCAAAUACUUAAAAAAUGAACGGCUGAAAAUAAAUAUUCUUUUAAAAAUAAUGAUAGGAGUCUUGUAAUCAAGAUCAAGAGUAUAAAUCUUGUUUUAAAUAGUUUAAAAAAUUUUCUAACAAAAAUUCAAUUGAUUUGAAUAUUUUUACACCGUUAAACGAGAAAACGUCUCAUAUCAAUCAUUAAAAUUACAAAUUUUAAAACUCUUUGAUCACCAGGCAAAUGAUGUCGAAAAUAUUUGAAAUUUGAUUUCUAAAUAUUUCAAGUGGUAUAGAUCAUGCUCAACGGUGCCAAUCAUCGAUUUGGAAGCUCUAUCAUCGAAAACAAAUGAGUGGCAACAAAACCCGUUUGCUAUCGAUAUAUAGUAUUCUUGCUCAACUCUCUCUCUCUCUCUCUCUCUCUCUCUCUCUCUCUCUCUCUCUCUCUCUCUCUCUCUAUAUAUAUAUAUAUAUAUAUAUCUAUAUAUAUAUAUAUAGAGUGAGGCUACUAUGCUUCUGGAUCCGUGCUUCCAAGUCGUUUUUCAUGUUGCGACUUUCGAUUCGUCGAUCAGCUCCAUUAAACUUGAUGUAGAGUAUUUGAAGUACCUAGAAAAUAAAUUAUGCGAUUUUUCGAUAUUAUUUGCCUAGUGAACGAAGGGGCUCAAAAUCAAUGGCUGAAAAUAAAAAUCUUACAAAACAUGAUAAUAUGAUAUUAAAAUUUUAGAUCAAUAAAUUUUAGAUUAAAGAUAUUGAUCUUGUUUUAUAUAGUAUAAAGAAUUUUCUAUCAAAAUUUCAUGCGAUUUGGAUAUUUCUAUACCGUUAAACUUGCAAACGGCUUAUUACGACCAUUAAAAUUAUUGAUUUUGAGCCCCUUCGAUCACUAGGCAAAUGAUAUCGAAAAAUCAUAAAAUUUAUUUUCUAGAUACUUUAAAUACUCUAGAUCAAGUUUAACGAAGCUGAUCAACGAUUCGAAAGUCACAACAUCGAAAACGACCUGGAAGCAUAGAAGGCUCCGUACUUUCAGAAGCAUAGUAGCCUCACUCUCUCUCUCUCUCUAUAUAUAUAUCAUGAGAUUAUUAUUCUAUCUAUAGUACCGGAGCAACGGUACUAUAGUCUCGUUUUCGAUCUUAAGGUAUUCAAAUCAAUAAUCCACACCGUUAAAUAUGAUCUAUUGUAUAUGAAAUUACUAGGAAAAAAAUUUUAUUUUUUUCGAUAUGGUUUACUUAGUAAGUAAAUCAUAUCAAAAUGAACGGUGAAAAUUGAAUCAUCUUUAAAUUUAAGUAUAGAACUUUUGAAUUCAAGAUUAAGGAUGUUGAUCUUCAUCUUGAUCUAGAUAGUUUAAAGUAUUUUUUUAUCAAAAUUUGAGUAAAUUUAAAUUUUUUUAC
Molecule: long non-coding RNA, 1614 nt
Filed under: Ananas comosus (pineapple)
Lineage: Eukaryota; Viridiplantae; Streptophyta; Magnoliopsida; Poales; Bromeliaceae
Description: long non-coding RNA (ACOM_LNC020662)
Source: RNAcentral